Molecule: unclassified non-coding RNA, 248 nt
Filed under: rhizosphere metagenome
Description: partial ribosomal RNA internal transcribed spacer region
Source: RNAcentral
GUAGGUGAACCUGCGGAAGGAUCAUUAUUGAAAUUAUAGGUGAGGGUUGUAGCUGGCCUCUCGGGGCAUGUGCACGCCUGAGCCCUUAAUCCACACACACCUGUGAACCUAUUGUAAGGGCCCUUAAAAAAGGCCUUUACGUCUUAUCAUCAACCCAUCGUAUGUCUCAUAGAAUGUAAAUAUAUGUCCUCGCCUUAAAAAGCGUUGAUAAACUUAUACAACUUUCAACAACGGAUCUCUUGGCUCUC